This 193-nucleotide ribosomal RNA is filed under the name uncultured Clostridium sp. RNAcentral's name for it is "partial 16S ribosomal RNA". It matches the Rfam family "Bacterial small subunit ribosomal RNA", at positions 338 to 524 of the family's 1533-position model. The record is from RNAcentral. Lineage: Bacteria; Bacillati; Bacillota; Clostridia; Eubacteriales; Clostridiaceae.
CCUACGGGAGGCAGCAGUGGGGAAUUGUUCGCAAUGGGCGCAAGCCUGACGACGCAACGCCGCGUGGAGGAUGAAGGUCUUCGGAUUGUAAACUCCUGUUGCCCGGGACGAAAAGCUUCGACCUAACACGUCGAAGUCUGACGGUACCGGGUGAGGAAGCCCCGGCUAACUCUGUGCCAGCAGCCGCGGUAAU